This 301-nucleotide ribosomal RNA is filed under the name uncultured bacterium. RNAcentral's name for it is "partial 16S ribosomal RNA". It matches the Rfam family "Bacterial small subunit ribosomal RNA", at positions 509 to 809 of the family's 1533-position model. The record is from RNAcentral.
CAGUCGCCGCGGUAAUACGAGGGGUGCAAGCGUUAAUCGGAAUUACUGGGCGUAAAGCGUGCGCAGGCGGUUUUGUAAGACAGGCGUGAAAUCCCCGGGCUCAACCUGGGAAUGGCGCUUGUGACUGCAAAGCUAGAGUGCGGCAGAGGGGGAUGGAAUUCCGCGUGUAGCAGUGAAAUGCGUAGAUAUGCGGAGGAACACCGAUGGCGAAGGCAAUCCCCUGGGCCUGCACUGACGCUCAUGCACGAAAGCGUGGGGAGCAAACAGGAUUAGAUACCCGUGUAGUCCCUGUCUCUUAUAA